UACAGAGGGUGCGAGCGUUGUUCGGAAUUACUGGGCGUAAAGGGCGCGUAGGCGGCCUUCUAAGUCGGACGUGAAAUCCCUCGGCUUAACCGAGGAACUGCGUCCGAUACUGAAAGGCUUGAAUCCGGGAGAGGGAUGUGGAAUUCCAGGUGUAGCGGUGAAAUGCGUAGAUAUCUGGAGGAACACCGGUGGCGAAGGCGGCAUCCUGGACCGGUAUUGACGCUGAGGCGCGAAAGCUAGGGGAGCAAACGGG
RNAcentral lists this ribosomal RNA (253 nucleotides) under uncultured bacterium. Its description in RNAcentral is "partial 16S ribosomal RNA". It matches the Rfam family "Bacterial small subunit ribosomal RNA", at positions 524 to 776 of the family's 1533-position model. The record is from RNAcentral.